GAUUUCUGGCUUGCAACAUUUGGCCGGCCACGGUUUCGUGUGUUAGUGCUUUAUGUUCUGGCCAUCCUUCCCAUCGCUUCUGGUGCCUCUUCAUUGAGGUGUCAGAGGUAUGGGAUCUUUUACUUUGAAAAAAUUAGAGUGUUUCAAGCAGGCUUUAUGCUAUGAAUACAUUAGCAUGGAAUAAUAAUUUAGGACUUCGGUUCUAUUUUGUUGGUUUCUAGGACUGAAGUAAUGAUUGAUAGGGAUAGUUGGGGGUGCUAGUAUUCAGCGGCCAGAGGUGAAAUUCUCGGAUUCGCUGAAGACUAACUUAUGCGAAAGCAUU
This 322-nucleotide ribosomal RNA is filed under the name Sandonidae sp. RNAcentral's name for it is "SSU rRNA". The stretch from base 113 to 322 matches the Rfam family "Eukaryotic small subunit ribosomal RNA", at positions 745 to 955 of the family's 1831-position model. The record is from RNAcentral. Lineage: Eukaryota; Cercozoa; Glissomonadida; Sandonidae.